UCCUGAAAUGAUGACUUUCAUAUACCGCCCCAGUCUGAUGUAAAACUGACUGAUUGGUUACUGAACUGAU
Esox lucius (northern pike) is the source of this 70-nucleotide small nucleolar RNA. Lineage: Eukaryota; Metazoa; Chordata; Actinopteri; Esociformes; Esocidae. The record is from Ensembl.